AGUGAACGCUGGCGGUAGGCCUAACACAUGCAAGUCGAACGGCAGCACAGUAAGAGCUUGCUCUUACGGGUGGCGAGUGGCGGACGGGUGAGGAAUACAUCGGACUCUACUUUUUCGUGGGGGAUAACGUAGGGAAACUUACGCUAAUACCGCAUACGACCUACGGGUGAAAGCAGGGGAUCUUCGGACCUUGCGCGAUUGAAUGAGCCGAUGUCGGAUUAGCUAGUUGGCGGGGUAAAGGCCCACCAAGGCGACGAUCCGUAGCUGGUCUGAGAGGAUGAUCGGCCACACUGGAGCUGAGACACGGUCCAGGCUACUACGGGAGGCAGCAGUGGGGAAUAUUGGACAAUGGGCGCAAGCCUGAUCCAGCCAUACCGCGUGGGUGGAGAAGGCCUUCGGGUUGUAAAGCCCUUUUGUUGGGAAAGAAAAGCAGCAGGUUAAUACGACGCUGUUCUGACGGUACCCAAAGAAUAAGCACCGGCUAACUUCGUG
RNAcentral lists this ribosomal RNA (492 nucleotides) under uncultured bacterium. Its description in RNAcentral is "partial 16S ribosomal RNA". It matches the Rfam family "Bacterial small subunit ribosomal RNA", at positions 29 to 507 of the family's 1533-position model. The record is from RNAcentral.